CAGCGCCGUCGCCCGGCGCAGUGAGGACGUCUGGGCUCGGGCCGAGCAGGCGCUCCGGGACGCGCGGCCCCCCCCGCCCGGCCCUGCGCCCCAGCGGAAGCCCGACAAAGCCCAGCUGCUGCAGGAGCUGGCAAUGCUCAAGGUGUGCGGCUGGGGGGGGGGUGGACACCUGGACCCCUCCCCUGCUCCCGCGGGGUCCAGAGCAGGGUGCACGGCUCGAGCACCCUGCAAAGGGCUGCUGGGCUGGGCGGGGGCACCCCGGGGUGACGCUGUGCCCCCCAGGAGGCCAUGGCCGACCUGCGGACGCAGCUGCAGCUGGAGGAGACGGAGAAGCGGGGCCUGGCAGUGCUGGCGGCGGCGCAGGGGCCGCGGGAGGCGGCGCUGCUCCUGCUGCUCCAGCACCUGGAGCAGGAGCGGGGCGGGGGGCCUGGCAGCCCCGAGGAGGUAUGGUGGGCGCGGGACCAGGGGCUCGCCCCCCUCCUUGGUGCAUGUCCCCCCGCGAUGGACGUGUCCCCGGGAGGGGGUCUCUGGGCUGCCCGGGGCCGGGGUCYCGCCAGGCUGUGCCGUGGGUGCUGAGCCCGCACCGGCCUCCCCAGGAUGCCCAGCCCGGCGGGACGGGCGCGACGGCUCCCCAGCGCCCCGCGGACCUGGAGAGCACGGCGCGAGAGCUGCUCGGCGCGCUGGCUCGGACGGAGGAGCUGCAUUCCCGGGCCCGGGCCCUGGCGCUCGCCCUGGAGCAGGCCAGCGCCGUCAGCCGGGCGCAGCAGGCGCAGUGCAGCGCCGUCACCGGCGACUUCUUCCAGGCUCACAGGUGGGCAGGGGGCACGCAGCCCCCCCUCAGCACGCCCCACAUGCACGGUCCGCCUCGGCACGCCCCAGACACGCGGUCCCCCCUGC
RNAcentral lists this long non-coding RNA (897 nucleotides) under Dromaius novaehollandiae (emu). RNAcentral's name for it is "lncRNA (ENSDNVG00000007111.1)". Lineage: Eukaryota; Metazoa; Chordata; Aves; Casuariiformes; Dromaiidae. The record is from RNAcentral.